CGUGCAAAUGUCUCUAUCUCUGUCUUUGUUUAUGUCUUUCCCUUGAUGCAGAAUGCCCUUCCCAGCCAUCAAGACCUGACUGGGACGUCAUUUGCCCUGGAAAGCCUCCCAGGAUCCUUCUCUUUGGUCCCUGUGCUUCUUUGUAUCUAUUGGAACAGUAUCUGUUGAGUUCUCAGUUCUAAUAGGCUGAUUAGUGUCACCUGGGGGACCUUGUUAAAUUCAUAAAUCCUAGCCCUGAAUCACAAUCUCUUAAGAGGACCUGGAGCAGACAGGAUCCCUGAAUUCAAGUGCAUGGAACAGAAGUGUGGUGCCUUGCCUCUACCAGUUCUGGGACUUCUCGGUUGACAGAUGUGGAGACCCAGAGUCAAGGAACGAAGUACCCGAGAACCCCUGGGGAAUUCGACAUAACCAGAGCCAGCACCUGGCUGCCAUCAUGCCCAGUCUAAGGCGGUGUCACUCGAGAGGGCUUCCUCUCCUGAUGAAUUAAAGCUGAUUUGAAGAGUAAAAGAGUCUAAAAAACAUACCAUUAUCUGAAGAACAACUUUAACACAUGUAAAUAGAGGCCCAAAGAUUUUUAUCUCUAUUUUCAGUUAAAUACAAAUCAAAACCCAGCAUGUUUUCGAACACUACAUCGGACACUUAUUUGUAUUUCCUGAAGCCACCCCAGUGAGCCACUCUGAAAUAAAUUAAAAAGAAUGGUCAAAGCUGAAUGCACACCGAGGUUUCCAUGUGCUCAGCUCAGCAGAUUCAGGUAUGACCCCUACAGAGCUUGGACUCUGAACGGGAACUGACAUUCUCUACGCUCAGCGACCAUUUCACACAAUGAAUUCAUCUGUGUAAUUGUGCCUGGCUGUCCCCAGAUUAACUCCAUGUUUGCAUGAAGAUCAAAAUGCUUACUUUUCUUCCAUUUCUGUCUUAUCUGGGGAGGCAUUCAUGCUUGGAAUUUCCUGGGCUUUUCUUUUUUAAAUCUCGUGGAGAGAUUGAGAGUGUA
Molecule: long non-coding RNA, 991 nt
Organism: Callithrix jacchus (white-tufted-ear marmoset)
Lineage: Eukaryota; Metazoa; Chordata; Mammalia; Primates; Cebidae
Source: RefSeq, a predicted model, not a curated record